AACGAACGCUGGCGGCAUGCCUAACACAUGCAAGUCGAACGAGACCUUCGGGUCUAGUGGCGCACGGGUGCGUACCGCGUGGGAACCUGCCCUUAGGUUCGGAAUAACUCCCCGAAAGGGGUGCUAAUACCGGAUAAUGUCUUCGGACCAAAGAUUUAUCGCCUUUGGAUGGGCCCGCGUUGGAUUAGCUAGUUGGUAGGGUAAAAGCCUACCAAGGCGACGAUCCAUAGCUGGUCUGAGAGGAUGAUCAGCCACACUGGGACUGAGACACGGCCCAGACUCCUACGGGAGGCAGCAGUGGGGAAUAUUGGACAAGGGGCGAAAGCCUGAUCCAGCAAUGCCGCGUGAGUGAUGAAGGCCUUAGGGUUGUAAAGCUCUUUUACCCGGGAUGAUAAUGACAGUACCGGGAGAAUAAGCUCCGGCUAACUACGUG
RNAcentral lists this ribosomal RNA (433 nucleotides) under uncultured bacterium. RNAcentral's name for it is "partial 16S ribosomal RNA". It matches the Rfam family "Bacterial small subunit ribosomal RNA", at positions 29 to 507 of the family's 1533-position model. The record is from RNAcentral.